AUGCAGGCAUGAGUAGCGAAAGACGGGUGAGAAACCCGUCCGCCGGAUGACCAAGGGUUCCAGGGCCAGGCUAAUCCGCCCUGGGUAAGUCGGGACCUAAGACGAGGCCGACAGGCGUAGUCGAUGGACAACGGGUUGAUAUUCCCGUACCGGUUUACACACGACCAUGACGAGCCCAGUGAUGCUAAGCCCACAAAGUCGAGGAACUCUUCGGAGGGAAUCGGUGGAGUGCGCGAACCGAACUGGUAGUAGUCAAGCAAUGGGGUGACGCAGGAAGGUAGCUCAACCGCGGCGAUGGUAGACCGCGGCCAAGGUUGUAGGGCGAGAUGUAGGUAAAUCCGCAUCUCAUACGCCUGAGAACUGAUGGGGAGCCGACUUAGGCGAAGUGAGUGAUCCUAUGCUGCCGAGAAAAGCCUCUAGCGAGUGUGCAAGCCGCCCGUACCCCAAACCGACACAGGUGGUCAGGUAGAGAAUACCAAGGCGAUCGAGUGAACUGUGGUUAAGGAACUCGGCAAAUUGCCCCCGUAACUUCGGGAGAAGGGGGGCCGCGGCUGGUGAUGGGACUUGCUCCCUGAGCUGGCUACGGCCGCAGAGACCAGGUGGAAGCGACUGUUUACUAAAAACACAGGUCCAUGCAAAGUCGCAAGACGACGUAUAUGGACUGACGCCUGCCCGGUGCUGGAACGUUAAGGGGACCAGUCAGUUCUUCGGAGCGAAGCUGAGAACUUAAGCGCCAGUAAACGGCGGUGGUAACUAUAACCAUCCUAAGGUAGCGAAAUUCCUUGUCGGGUAAGUUCCGACCUGCACGAAUGGCGUAACGACUUCCACGCUGUCUCAACCGCAGACUCGGCGAAAUUGCACUACGAGUAAAGAUGCUCGUUACGCGUGGCAGGACGGAAAGACCCCGGGACCUUUACUACAGCUUGGUAUUGGUGGUCGGUUCGAUUUGUGUAGCAUAGGUGGGAGACUUGGAAGCCCGGACGCCAGUUCGGGUGGAGUCAUCGUUGAAAUACCACUCUGAUCGUAUUGGCUGUCUAACCUCGAUCCGUGAUCCGGAUUAGGGACAGUGCCUGGUGGGUAGUUUAACUGGGGCGGUUGCCUCCCAAAGAGUAACGGAGGCGCUCAAAGGUUCCCUCAGCCUGGUUGGCAAUCAGGUAUCGAGUGUAAGUGCACAAGGGAGCUUGACUGUGAGACUGACAGGUCGAGCAGGGACGAAAGUCGGAACUAGUGAUCCGGCGCCGGCAUGUGGAAGCGGCGUCGCUCAACGGAUAAAAGGUACCCCGGGGAUAACAGGCUGAUCUUGCCCAAGAGUCCAUAUCGACGGCAUGGUUUGGCACCUCGAUGUCGGCUCGUCGCAUCCUGGGGCUGGAGUCGGUCCCAAGGGUUGGGCUGUUCGCCCAUUAAAGCGGCACGCGAGCUG
This 1420-nucleotide ribosomal RNA is filed under the name marine metagenome. RNAcentral's name for it is "bacterial LSU rRNA". It matches the Rfam family "Bacterial large subunit ribosomal RNA", at positions 1294 to 2607 of the family's 2925-position model. The record is from RNAcentral.